GACGAACGCUGGCGGCGUGCUUAACACAUGCAAGUCGAACGGAAAGGCCCUGCUUUUGUGGGGUGCUCGAGUGGUGAACGGGUGAGUAACACGUGAGUAACCUGCCCUUGACUUUGGGAUAACUUCAGGAAACUGGGGCUAAUACCGGAUAGGAGCUCCUGCUGCAUGGUGGGGGUUGGAAAGUUUCGGCGGUUGGGGAUGGACUCGCGGCUUAUCAGCUUGUUGGUGGGGUAGUGGCUUACCAAGGCUUUGACGGGUAGCCGGCCUGAGAGGGUGACCGGCCACAUUGGGACUGAGAUACGGCCCAGACUCCUACGGGAGGCAGCAGUGGGGAAUAGUGCACAAUGGGCGGAAGCCUGAUGCAGCAACGCCGCGUGCGGGAUGACGGCCUUCGGGUUGUAAACCGCUUUCGCCUGUGACGAAGCGUGAGUGACGGUAAUGGGUAAAGAAGCACCGGCUAACUACG
Molecule: ribosomal RNA, 466 nt
Filed under: uncultured bacterium
Lineage: Bacteria
Description: partial 16S ribosomal RNA
Rfam family: Bacterial small subunit ribosomal RNA
Source: RNAcentral